CCACUACUGUGGCAGCAGCUAUUUUUGCGCCCCCAAAAAAGCAGCACUUAGGAGUUGCUGCCCCCAGCAAAGUUAUGCUACUUCGGUGCUUGAUAAGCACCCAUCAGUGAGAGCCCAGCCAGACCCUGCAUCUGAGACCAGCUCUGCCAGUAGAGUCCACCUCAUGGAACCACUCUCAAGCCUCUUUUGCUGGAUGAUGGUAACACAUGCCCAGGGCCAGCAUUAGAGGCCUCCUCAAAGAGUGCCAACGAGAAAACACAGCCAGCUUAUUCAAGAGAGGGCUUGGGAGCAGAACAGAUAGUCCCCAAGCGCGCACAUUAACCAUCUAGGAGUGCAGUCUAGACUGCCCUGCUGCAAGAGGCUUUAAAACAUGAGCAGCCAGCUGUAACGGCGCCCUUCUGCCUCCAGAAGUCUGCACCGCUUUCAUUGCCGGCUGCUAUCGGGAAACCCACACGAGCUGCGGCAAGCAUACUGCCCGUGGCAGAUCACAGCAAGUUUCUAUUCAGAACUUGCCUCCUUCAAGCAAUUAAUUGCCAGAGGAGUCACGAGGAGCAUGGCAAUGUUGCAUCUCUGGGGCUCUGCGCACCAGCCUGGACAGACACAACCUGCACGUGGCACGGGCAGUUCCACGGCAAGCACCCUUGGCAAGGGCUGCAGAAGUAGCACAGGGUUAAAAGCUCGUUCUGGGAGAGCUCAGGCCACCGCUGCACUUUGAUCCCGUCUGUAUUUGCAGGUCUCUGACUCCUGGAAGGGCCCCAGUAGACUGGCGUCCUGGCCAAAUUCCAGCUGGGUUGAUUAGGCUCUGCUCAUGUGAGAUCCUUUUCCCCUCCCCUGUCCCAAUGGAUUUGCUUUCACCCCUAACCCUGCUCUCUUUUGCUAACCAUUUUAUAAGGGGCCAGAACAGCUAAGGAAGCUGCUCAAGAACGACAUAACCAGCACAGUGACUCCUGCAUGGCCUGUUACAUCCCAUCCGCGAGCCCUUCAGCAUCAUCACUCUUGUUUUUAAAGAAGCCGCAGGAAGGAUGCAUUUAUCCGCUGUUGCUGCGAGCCAUUAAGCGGCUGCUAGGUUCCACCCCAGAAGUGGCUGCAUUUUAGUGAGGGGUUGGAAAGUGCAGAAAGGCUGCUGCCAGCCUGAAAUGAGACAAGAAACACAAGUGGGAUCAGGGAGGACAACCAGGAUUCUGGAGAAGAGGCUUCAGCAGCAACCUGUGCCCAUGCGGUGACCCCCACCCCCAAUCUCACACCCGGGGACUUUGACUCCUAGCUCAGCAGCAAGUCAGCAUCCUGCACAAGCACCGUCUUGCAGACACCCUGGCGUUAAUCUUUAAUUUUUAUGGGGGAAAAGGUACCUAAUAGAAGCCCAGAAAGCCAAGAGGAGCUAAUCAGUUCCAGGGUUUGAAAUAGGACAGCGCUGACAGCCUUGAUGAUGAUACUCGUUAAGCACUAAGCACUGGAAGUACUCAAGGAGCACUUGUUACCUUACAUUGGGAUAAGCACAGAGCAGGUUCUCAGUCCCACAGCUGGGCACUUCAAUGGGACACACUGCGCUGGCAUCACCGACUUUGUGAGGCCUAAUGACCAAGAUCACCAAGCGUCUGGUGCAGCAAUUCUCAACCAGAGCCCGGUGGCACCCUGGGGUGUCUGGAGAUCCUUUAAAGGGUGCCAUGAAUGCCCUGCAUGGUUAGCACUGUUAAGUGUGCAACCACGAUCCCCAAAAUAAAGCAAUUACUUCAAAAAUGAA
Molecule: long non-coding RNA, 1741 nt
Organism: Alligator mississippiensis (American alligator)
Lineage: Eukaryota; Metazoa; Chordata; Crocodylia; Alligatoridae
Exons: 2
Source: RefSeq, a predicted model, not a curated record